UGCGAGUCGAGCGAGAAAGCCCUCUUCGGAGGGUGAGUACAGCGGCAAACGGGUGAGUAACGCGUGGGUAAUCUACCUUUGAGUUGGGGAUAACACUCCUAACGGGGUGCUAAUACCGAAUGCGAGGCCGGAAUCUUGGUUUCGGUCUGAAAGAUGGCCUCUGCUUGCAUGCUGUCGCUCAAAGAUGAGCCCGCGUCCUAUUAGCUUGUUGGUGGGGUAACGGCCUACCAAGGCAACGAUGGGUAGCCGGCCUGAGAGGGUGAUCGGCCACACUGGCACUGAGACAAGGGCCAGUCCCCUACGGGGGCCAGCAGUCUAGAAAUUUGCACAAUCGCCGAAAGGCGGAUGCAGCGACGCCACGUGGAGGAUGAAGCCUUUCGGGGUGUAAACUCCUGUCAGAUGGGAAGAAGGCGCGGGUGUUAAUACCAUCUGUUGCUUGACGGUACCAUCAGAGGAAGCUCCGGCUAACUGCGUGCCAGCAGCCGCGGUAAUACGUGGGGAGCAAGCGUUGUUCGGAUUUACUGGGCGUAAAGAGCUCGUAGGCGGAUGUGUAAGUCGGAUGUGAAAUCCUCUGGCUCAACCAGAGAACUGCACCCGAAACUGCAUGUCUUGAGUUCAGCAGAGGGAAUCGGAAUCAGGUGUGUA
RNAcentral lists this ribosomal RNA (645 nucleotides) under uncultured bacterium. Its description in RNAcentral is "bacterial SSU rRNA". It matches the Rfam family "Bacterial small subunit ribosomal RNA", at positions 56 to 677 of the family's 1533-position model. The record is from RNAcentral.